This 810-nucleotide ribosomal RNA is filed under the name Clostridioides difficile. RNAcentral's name for it is "bacterial SSU rRNA". It matches the Rfam family "Bacterial small subunit ribosomal RNA", at positions 1 to 838 of the family's 1533-position model. The record is from RNAcentral. Lineage: Bacteria; Bacillati; Bacillota; Clostridia; Peptostreptococcales; Peptostreptococcaceae.
UUUUAUUUGAGAGUUUGAUCCUGGCUCAGGAUGAACGCUGGCGGCGUGCCUAACACAUGCAAGUUGAGCGAUUUACUUCGGUAAAGAGCGGCGGACGGGUGAGUAACGCGUGGGUAACCUACCCUGUACACACGGAUAACAUACCGAAAGGUAUGCUAAUACGGGAUAAUAUAUUUGAGAGGCAUCUCUUGAAUAUCAAAGGUGAGCCAGUACAGGAUGGACCCGCGUCUGAUUAGCUAGUUGGUAAGGUAACGGCUUACCAAGGCGACGAUCAGUAGCCGACCUGAGAGGGUGAUCGGCCACAUUGGAACUGAGACACGGUCCAAACUCCUACGGGAGGCAGCAGUGGGGAAUAUUGCACAAUGGGCGAAAGCCUGAUGCAGCAACGCCGCGUGAGUGAUGAAGGCCUUCGGGUCGUAAAACUCUGUCCUCAAGGAAGAUAAUGACGGUACUUGAGGAGGAAGCCCCGGCUAACUACGUGCCAGCAGCCGCGGUAAUACGUAGGGGGCUAGCGUUAUCCGGAUUUACUGGGCGUAAAGGGUGCGUAGGCGGUCUUUCAAGUCAGGAGUGAAAGGCUACGGCUCAACCGUAGUAAGCUCUUGAAACUGGGAGACUUGAGUGCAGGAGAGGAGAGUGGAAUUCCUAGUGUAGCGGUGAAAUGCGUAGAUAUUAGGAGGAACACCAGUUGCGAAGGCGGCUCUCUGGACUGUAACUGACGCUGAGGCACGAAAGCGUGGGGAGCAAACAGGAUUAGAUACCCUGGUAGUCCACGCUGUAAACGAUGAGUACUAGGUAUCUUGGGUUUCCCCC